This 399-nucleotide ribosomal RNA is filed under the name uncultured bacterium. RNAcentral describes it as "partial 16S ribosomal RNA". It matches the Rfam family "Bacterial small subunit ribosomal RNA", at positions 338 to 734 of the family's 1533-position model. The record is from RNAcentral.
CCUACGGGUGGCUGCAGUGAGGAAUAUUGGUCAAUGGGCGUAAGCCUGAACCAGCCAAGUAGCGUGAGGGAUGAAGGUUCUACGGAUCGUAAACUUCUUUUAUAAGGGAAUAAAGUGAGGCACGUGUCCCGUUUUGUAUGUACUUUAUGAAUAAGGAUCGGCUAACUCCGUGCCAGCAGCCGCGGUAAUACGGAGGAUCCGAGCGUUAUCCGGAUUUAUUGGGUUUAAAGGGUGCGUAGGUGGGUUGUUAAGUCAGUGGUGAAAGUUUGCGGCUCAACCGUAAAAUUGCAGUUGAAACUGGCAGGCUUGAGUAUAGUUGAGGCAGGCGGAAUGCGUGGUGUAGCGGUGAAAUGCUUAGAUAUCACGCAGAACUCCGAUUGCGAAGGCAGCCUACUAAGC